This is a long non-coding RNA of Passer domesticus (house sparrow), 13928 nucleotides long. RefSeq lists it as uncharacterized. NCBI's taxonomy places the organism in Eukaryota, Metazoa, Chordata, Aves, Passeriformes, Passeridae. The transcript has 2 exons. The record is from RefSeq and is a predicted model, not a curated record.
AUCUGAAGGCCCCUGGUGCUUCCGCCAGAGAAGGAAGGGAGCGGAGCUGUGGGCAGGUUUUUCGGGAGCGUGGCCUGCCUGUCCCGGCCCUGGAGCCCACUCACGCUGGGCCUGCUCAGGGUCAGGGUGGCAGAGCUCCCCAUCCCCUGGGUCACCCGAAACCACCCCCCACGCUUUCACAUUUCCUAUCGCUGUACAUUCCAUUAAGGUCUCUCAAAGUGUUCUGCUGAUUAAUUUACGCCUGUUUAAACUUUUCUUACCUAAAACAUAGCCCCAUACUAGCCACUGUGCAGAAAAUUAACUCUGUCCCAGCCAAAACCAGCACAGUAUUGUAAGAGGAAAUGGCUUCAUGAAACUUCUUUCACAGUGCAUUGGAAAUAGAAGCUGCCUUUUAGCGGAAACUGUGAGCCAAGCUCACCAGUUAAGAAAAUAUCUUUGUAUGAAAAACUGUGUUCUCUACACAAACUGCUGAAAAUGUUGGGAUAAGCCUUCUUGGCCAGAAAUAGAGUCUAUAGAAGCAUAGAAUCAGAAUAAUUUUGUCUGGAAAAGACCUUUAAGAUUAUUGUAUCCAACCAUUAACUCAGUACUUCCAAGUCCACCACUCAAUCGUGUCCCUCAGUGCCACAUCUACAUCUUUUAAAUACUUUCUGGGAUGGUGGCUCCACCACUUCCCCAGGCAGCCUGUUCUAAUGCUUGACAGCCCAGAGAAGUUUUUACUAAUACUUGGUUGAGGAGGCUGAGGAGAGGACUGGAGAUAAAAAAUUAGUAGUGAAGUCUGACGCAUUAGGUGCAGUUAGGCUUAUCACAAUACAUCAAGUUUUUUAAUAGAGGGUGAUCAAUCUUUCUGAACAUAGAAGUAUUUAGAUGUGACAAACAAUACACACUUUUAUAACCCUCAUCCCCAUUUCUUGGAUAAUCUAAGCAGCAUUAUUUUUAUAAUGCUCUUUUCUUCAAAAAACUUGGUUCUUACCAAUAUAAAUAGUGGAAAAUUUCUGAGCUAAUACACAUUUUCUUUAUCUUUUUUUAUUUUUAAAGAUUUACUUUUCUAACUACAGAAAAUUAUUAACACGCUGGAACUUUCACUUUAGACUUCAAGUGAUAAAAAUGAAUGAGAUGGAAUAAGUUAGAAAGCAUUUUCAUUCUGACAGCACUAUUUAUUUCUCAGUGAAAUUCAAGACAAAGGAAAAAAAAAAAAAACCAAACAAAAAAAACAUUCUCCAGUCUUCUGUAACUGGCAUAUCAGCAGCUAUCCUGUAAUUUUCUGUGCAUCUUUUGUGCAUGUAAGUGAUGCAGAUGCUUUGCAAACUGGACAUUGGAACAUGCAUGUUUUCAUUUAAUCUUUUCAGCUGAGACUGAAAGAAAAGAUUCAGAGACAUCAGUGCUUUUACCUCCAAACCUGUCACCUGUAUGCAGAGCUGAAUCUAAAAAGUAGAAUUAGGCAGGGGCAGUAUUAUUACUGUUCUAAAAAAGAAAGUGGCUUUGCAUUUUCUGAGAGUACCACUUCUGCUUGCAAUUAUAGGCUUAUUGAGAGGCACCUAAAAGUUCUGAGGCCUUCUGCCAUUAGGCAGCUGCCUGGAGAGAUAUUUAUCACUUUAUUGUUUUGUAAUUGAACUGCUUUAAAAAAAAGCUGUAUAAAUUAAAUUUUAGAUGCACAGUUCCCAUUUUUAUAUAUUUUUUAAUCUGAAGCUAGUAGUAGUUAGAAAGAAUGUUUCUUAAACUUGCAAGUUUAAGUAACUUGCAAAGUUACUGUGCACCACUUUCAGAAUACCAACCAAUGUACAACUUACUACAGUUUUUAGGUUUGCUUUUAAAAUAAGUUGAAGCAUCCCAAUGUUUUCAAGGUGGAAAAAAGCUGGUGCAUGCCCACCAUUAACAGAGCAUCUCUAACAACUUUUUUAUUCAUCUGAAAGCAGCAAAAUCUGGGCACAAUCAAUUGCAGAAUCACUGAGAUGUGUGUUCCUGUUCUCUUGAAGGACACUUUUCAAAAAUAAUGCGUAGAACUUGCAUUAACUUUAUUCAGUGAGUAUUCCCAGUGAUUACAUAGAAUUGUAGAAUCAUUGAGGUUGGAAAAGACCUUCAAGAUCAUCAAGUCCAAUCUUUGACUGAUUGGACAGCACCCUGUUAAUUAGACCAUGGCACUGAGUGCCACGUCCAGUUAUUUCUUGAACACCUCCAGGGACAGUGACUCCACCACCUCCCUAGGCACCCCAUUCCAAUGCCUGACCAACUUUUCAGUGAAGUGUUUCUUUGUGACACCCAAGCAGCAUAAUCUAACGUACUUCAUACGUAAGCAAUGUCUGUGUGCACAUGUAUUGGUGUAUGGUGCAAAUUCAUGUUAGAUCCAAUAAAUAAAAAAUAAGCUAUCCAAACAUGGGGUGAUUAGCACGGAAUGUAAUCUCAGGUGAGACAACAGUGAAAUGAAGCUUCAUUUUGAAAUAAGCAGUUUGUAGUUUGUGAAGGAAGCUGAUUCUAGUAGUUUCACAUAAAUUAUUUUGAUAUUUUUGUAAAUGUCUUUUGAUCUCAAGAACAGUCAAAGGAUAUGCCAAAAGGUCAUACAAAAUAAUUAGCUGCUUUUCUUAUUAAUCAAACAUAAAAGCAAUGAGCUAUUUAAUCACAGGAGAGGUCAUGAGUUCUCAGUAUUUAUCCAAUCCACGUGCUGAAUGAUUUCAAACAACUGAGUGGUGAACUAAGAACAAACGCAAAAACCAUGGGCUUCAAUCAGUUGUUAAAAGUAAGUGUAUUACAUUACUGUCAAACAGGCUUGCCCUGUUCUUAGUGGAUGGUUACAGUAUCAGCAAGAGUUUGAGCAUUAAUAUAUUUUGAAUAUAUUUUGAUUUGGAGAACUACAGGCUGUUAGAAUUUAUGUGAGAUCUUUGUAUUUUAAUGCAUGUCCCUUUGCCUGAGAACUGGAAGUGUCUGAAAACACAUAUGAGACAUGCUGUCUCAACUAUCAUAGCUGCAAUUUUGUUUAGCUGAGGUGGGGCAAGAGACACAGUGUUUUUAAAAGCAUGUGAAAAUCAGGAGCAGGAGCAUCAAAAUCUUCUCAUUUGACCCUUUUUUUCCAUGUGUUUCAGUGCUAUAUUUAAUUUUAAAAAAAUUGGCAUCAUGAUUCUUCGUUACUCAGCAUCAAGCUGUUUUCAAAACAGAUUAUAAUGUUUUUUUGAUGGCUCUAUUUUCUGUGUAAUUCUGAUGGAACCAGUAUGGCUCAAGCAGUCCCUUUGAGCAUAAUCUGCAAUUCUAAACAAAUCAUCUGAUCCAGGAUGUUCAGUGAGUUAUGCAAUGACAUCUUUUUUUUCUCUUGAGAAACAAAGCAUUAUCGUCAGGAAAAAAAGGAUCACAUUGCAGUGUCUGAUGCAAUGAAAACCUUGUUCUAUAAAAACAAUAUAAAAAGUUAGACAUGGUAUGAGGAGAAAAGGGAAGCAAAAAAACUUGCUAUUGUUUAUAGGCAUCAUGCCAUCAAUUAUGAAUAGAUACUUCAUAGUGCUUUGUCAUCACUUACAUAAAAUUAAUGACAACAGAUUCCAUUCCUUUCUAUACAGUAUAUCCUAAGGAAAGAUAAAACCUUUCCCUCAACGAAUUUCACCGUCUGGAAAUCAGUACUGAAAGAUUCUGACUCCACUAGGUAAGAAAAACGAUAAAAGCAUGUUAGCAAGUAGUCAGAAUGAUACUUAAAAAUUAAUGUGACAAUAUAGCAGGUAAUUUUCUGCAUUUAAAUUUUAUCAUUUAUCUAAGGGUAACAAAACAGUGUUGCGAGACUUUCCUCCUAUACAGCAACAGACGUCUGAGAAGAAAGAAGAAUUAAAGAACAUAUAAAGAGUUUUCAUUUAAUUUAGUACUUUUUAUUGUAGUUCUACAAGAUUUUCUUCAUGAAGUUCUCAAAAAGGCAAAGAGAUAAACAGGCACUCAUCAGGGAAGGGCCAUGGACUGACAUAAAUCCUUUCUCCCGGCAGCUGGGCUGUUGCUUCAGAGAAGAAGAGCAUCUGCUUGCAGCAUGAGAGGGUCACAUUACCAUGGUUCCCACGCCCAAUAUAAAAUGGUGGUGAUAUACAAAUGAGAGCACCAGUAGGUACAAAUGAAGAUGCCAUUUAAAAGUUGCAUGAUGUGACUCAAGUGAUACAAUUUAAAAUUCAAAUCAGUCUGUACAAGUUGUGUCCUCAUGCAGCUGUCCAGAAAUCUGAAAGUCUAUAUGUGGGACUCAGGUUGCACAUUAGAACUAGAAAGAUUGGGCUGUGCAUAUUUUAAAGGGAGAAAAUUGCAUGUGUCCAUAAGUUGCUACAAAGAGCCAUUCCAUAGGAGGUUUAAGAGGUAAUCACCCAUCUGCUAAAAUAUCUGUGUUGUCUUUAAUCAUGUUUCUGCUGAAUGAGAAGAAAACAUUUAAAAAAUACGUUAAAAAACCCCCAAAACAACACCCCCCCAAAAAAAAACCCAAAACCAAACCAAAACCAGGAUUGCUAAACCCUGUAAUUAUGAAGAAAACAAGUGAUUAAAAGGAAUUGGCUGAAAUAAAAGUGAACCUAAAUUUUAUUACAUGUGUAAUUUUGGGACUAGACAUAGCUGUCAUGACUUAGAGCAACAUAAAACCCCUAUUAAAGGGAGGACACUUCAUUUAAAUUGGUGGAAACCACUGUAUAAGUGUAGUUCAUAAAAUGAACUAAAUUCACUUCUGGCUAAGUUCUACUGAGAUUCAUUCUAUCUAAAUUCUAGACUUUUGUUGAAAUAAUUCACUGUUUGAUCUUUCAGUUAUGUAAAAUAAAUGCACAGUUCUUCAUUUCAGCUGUGACAUUCAUUUACUCUCUAAGCUUGAUUGACUCUAUAACUUCUUGUCUCAAGGAUUUAGGAAACAAUGAAAGCAACAACUCAGCAGAGUGAAAUUCUUAUGUAGGUUACUUGGAUAAUUCAUAUCUGAGAAUAAAGAAAUAUGAGUUCUGUGGAGUGCAUGUGAUACUUGAUAUAUGUGCUUUAUAUAUAAUUUCCUUAAGGUCUGUAAGAAAAUUAAAUUGAAGUUUAAUCAGAAGUUUUGCUCUGCACUGAUCUGUGAGAACCUAAGGUGAAAUUGGAUGAAGAAAUGUAUUUAUGGAGAGGAUCCUCUUGUAUUCCCAUGCACCUUGCAUUUGGAGAGGAGUUGUUUUCCAACAGCUUUCAUAAUUUCUAUUUCUUCUUGAACUCUAAUAUUUUAUUUAUGCUUUAUUCCCAUAUCUGACACACAGGUAAUGUGCAGGAAUACAUUGAGAGCCAUGCACAUAUGAAUAUCAUUUUCUCAAGAGAAAAUGUGUCUGUCAAUAAAUAUGCUAUGUGGCACAUUUGUGACCAGGGCAGGCAGUUCUAAGAUGCAUUACUUGAUUAUUUCAAAAUCAGAUUUCUUCAAAGGUGCCAAAGGCAGAUAUAUGUCAAGAUAAAAGCUACAUGGGUUGGAGUAUAAAAGGGCAACCUAAACAUUUUUCAAAGUAUUCAGAAAUCUGUUUGUUUGUAUUCCAUACCUCAGAACUACUCAGACUGGAUUUUUAUUACACUUUGAUAAUAAUUUAUAGUUUGGUAAUGAACAAACAUGAGCAAUAUUAGCACAACAGAUCAUGUUCGUAAACCUCUGUAUGUCAUGGUAAAAAUUAAAUACCUUCUCAGCCAGAAUUGUGGCCAUUGCAAGUGAAGUUCUGUUAAAAAAAAGUUUUCCUUGUUGUUUCAUCGUUUGAAAUUUUCAUCUAUGUAGCCCUCAGAACACUACUCCUUGCUAUUAAAUGUCUUCAGACAUUUAAAAUGUUUCAGCUUUUUAAAUGCUUCAGACUGUCCAGAGUUUUUGAAAGUACUGCCAAAAUUUAAAAAAACCUGUGCUACUACUGGCAUUUCUUCAUAUGCUCAGAAACCCUCUCUUCCUCAUAAGGAAUUAUUUCUACACUUGUUUUCAGGGCUAAAAGUUGUUCUGCCAAUAUUCAUGAAGAUGAGCUUGUCCUUGCUACUUACAUUUUAUUUGUGGAAAACAGAUCAGAUAGACUGCCUGAAUGCUCUGGGAGUUCGUUCAGUUUAAAGUCAAUACUGAGCCAAAGAGAUGGUCCCAAUGUCCCACAGAUCAUUCCUUAGACUGUCAAUCAAUACAUUUCACCUGGGUCUCUCUAACUAGUAAGUCAAGUAGCAAGUAACACCAAGAGGGAAGCACACAUUGGAAACAUAAUGCACACCUUAGUAAGUGAGACCAAGGGUCUAUCUAACCCAGUUUUGUAUCUCAUAUAGUGCAGUGGGAAAGGCUGUAAGAAUGUUUUUAGAGUUUAUUUACUGGCAUGUAUUUUCUCCAUUGUGUGCUGUUUCAGCUUGUAGAUACUGUUGAGCUCUUCAUACUGCUGUAAAUGAUCGUCCUUCAUUCCUGGUCAGUAUUUUUUUCCUGUACUGCAUCCAGCUCUGGGGUCCUCUGGGUUCCAGCAUAAGAAAUACGUGGACCUAUUGAAGCAAGCCCAGAGGAGGGCGUCUCUAAAGAUGAUUAGAAGAAUGCAGCACUUCUCCAAUGAGGAAAGGCUGAAAGAAUUUGGUUUAUUCAGCCUGGAAAAGAGAACACUUUGAGGUGACCUAAUUGCAGCCUUUCAGCACCCGAAGGGAGCCUACACGAAAGCCCUUUUAUAAGGGCUUGUGUUAAUUGGACAAGGGGGAAUGGAUUCAAACUAAAAGAAAGUGAGUUUAGAUUAGAUAUCAGGAGGAAGUUCUUUACUGUGAGGGUGGUGAGGCAUUGGUACAAGUCGCCCAGGGGAGUUGAAGAUGCUCCAUCAAAGUCAAGUUGGAUGGGGCUCUGAGCAACCUGAUCUAGUGAGGUUUGUCUUGGCACAUGGCAGGGGCCUUGGAACUGGAUGAUCUUUAAGGCCCCUUCCAACACUAGCUAUUCUAUAAUCUUAUGAUUCUAUGAUCAUCCUGUUUUGCUUGUAUCUUUUUGGUAAGAAUGUGCCAUUGCUUCAAUUUUAUUGAACAGAGUGAGACAGGAGAUCAAGCACGGCGUGAGGGAACUAAACUUUUGUCUCCCGCUUCUCUACUAGCACCCUAUCUAAUGAGGUCAGUUACCCUAUUUGACCCAUGUGAUUAAGAAAAAUACUCAUUAGCAACUAACUUGGACUUAAGUUUUGCCAACUUUUUUUAACCUAAUUGCUUAUUUAUUUAGCCUUCUUCAGUGUGAUAAUAUUUGUUUCCAAGAUCAUCCACUAGGUUUUCUUGUCUGUUAUGUUCAAAGAAAAAGUGUAAUUUAUACACAUAGCCUUUACUAAUAUAAGUAAUGUUUUCUAAUCUUACCUCCUUCCAAGUGUUGUUGAUCAUGGUCAAGAUUAUUUCAGCUAAUUAUCCACAGGAGGUAAAUCGCCUGAUAGCCAAUGGACACUCCAUUAGCAGAAAAUACCAAAUUCUUUUACAUGUAGAUUGCAAGAGUAAGUAAGAUAGGAAGAUAAAACUGUCUUCUAUAAAGCAAAAUGGAGGAGUUAAUAAGGCUGACAGAGAACUUGAAGCAGCAAAGAAUUUGGAAACAUCAAAGAGCAGUUGGUUUCUGUUAAUUUGCUUUUCUCAAAAGUGGCUGCUUUCCAUUUAUAUUACCCUCAAAGCUCAUCAACUGAAUUUUACAGAGCCUUACUUCACUUCUUUGCUAGAGGAAUUAAUUUGAUGGGUUGAAAUUAUGGAAUUUUUUUUCUCCUUCUUUGGUGAAAUGACAGCUGUAAGUCAGGAUGCAGCCAUAUACAACAUCACUUUAUAUUUUCCAAAAAUAUAUAUAUUUAUGCAUCAGUUUUGAAAAACUGGUGGUUAAAUAACUUGGUUAUAAAUUAAAUAGAGUAGAUUUUACAUGUGUCCAAACAACUAUUCCUCCAACCUAAAUUCUUUGCACAUUUCCAGGAGAUUUAUAUUUUUCUAACAGAACUCACAAGAUACUUUACCAUUUGUAACUGAAAGAGUUGCUGUUGAGUACUGCAUCAAAUGUCAUCCCAUACAGAUUUUCUAUGCUUAAAUUACAGUUGCUUGACUUUAAUGUAGUUAGUUUGCACCACAAGGCUAAGAAAGCCCCUGUGAAAUAUCUAAGUAACUCACAGAAACCUUACAAAAUCCUGUCAAAUAUGGGAACCUCUAAAAAAAUCAUUCUGUUUUCUCUGAACAAAUUAAAAGAUUAUGUAAAUAAUCUUGAAAAUAAAAUUAAUAAUUAAAAAAUGGACAGGUCCUUCACUAUAAAAUCAUAAAUGCCACUCAAAUUGGACUUUUAUAAGGGCUUAGACAGUGAGAUUUCAAAGGAAAUAAUUUAAAGAAAAUAUUGAGUUCUUAAUAUCAGAAAAUCAUGAACAUUGGAUUGAUUGCUACGUGACUAAAACAAUUCAAACUAAAAUGAAAAAAUGAUAAAGCAUGGAUUUGUAUUUUCAAUUUAAAGCAAAGAAACAAUAAGAUUAUAAAAUAAUUUUGAGCCUCCACAAAACCUACAGGGUAAGUGUGUGCAUUGGAAAUUUUCACAUCCUGUUCAUUAGUUUCCCCUAGUAUGAGUCUUGAUUUCUGGGAUCAUCUAGAAGCUAAAAUUUCUUGCAUGAUGAUUAGCACAUAUAACAAUUUACUGAAUAUUUCAAAGAGAGAAAAAACAGUAAGCAGUCAUGCUUGGUAGUGAGUUCUUUAAUGUCCUAGUUGUAAAUAUUGCCAAAAAACAUGUGACAAAAAUUAUAAGGGUAAAUGCACCUUUGAUAGAAAGAUGCUAAAAAUAUUUGAUAGUUGUGAUGGUUAACCUGGGCUGGGUGCCAGGUGCCUUCCAAGACACCCUGUUUUCUUCCCUCCUUAGCAGGAUGCAGAUGGAGUAAAUAAGAAGCAGGAAAACUCAUGAUUCAUGGUAAAGGCACUUUAAUAAAGCAAAAGCAAAGGUUAUACAUGGAAGCAAAGGAAGAUCAAAAGAUUUUUUCUGUACUUCCCAUCAGCAGGUGAUAUCCAGCCACUUCACAGGAAGGGCAUUAUUAUGAAUAGCAGUUGCUUCAGAAGACAAAUGCUGUACUAAUCUGCUGAGGACAUCUGCUGAGCUGAUGUCCUGUGGUAUGGAUAUCCCUCUGGUUACUUUGGGUCAGCUGUCCUGGAUAUGUACCCUCCCAAGACCUUGCCCCACCAAGCCUACUGGGUGCAGUAGGGGAGUCUUGGAGGGACGGCACUGAUGCUGUGUUAUCAACACCUUUCUAGAUCCCCUACAAUGUACAGCACUAUGAGGGCUGCAAUGCAGAAAACUAGCCCUGUCUCAGACACAUCCAAUACAGUAGCAUCUCAUUUUAAAGUAUGUUUUUUCAUCCUGUGAAAUAGGUCAUUGUCUUCUGAUGUCUAACAUUAAAUAAACCCCAAAGCCUCCUCAAAAGUGUUUUCUUGUUUAAAUAGUCACUAAUAAUAAGAACUGAAAUUAACACCAAGACUCUGAAACUGGAUAGAAGUAACUGUAGAAACUUCUAUAGAAACUGUAACAAAAAUUGUUACAAUUCCUUUUAUUGUUUUCCUUUAUGCAAGUCUCUGCAAGUAUGUUUAAGCACAUAAACAUGCUACUCAUGUACAAUUGAACUGAUUAAAAAAUAAUGAUACACAUUUGUAAGAUCAAAGCAAGCAUCCUUUCUUUCAAAAAAUAAGAACUCUUCUGCAAAGACUUAAACAUAAACAGCCAUUUGGAUGAAAAACAGCUGAACCUGCUUUUUUGAUACCAUUUUCUGAGAGGGUGAUUUCUAAUCACUUCAGCCAUGGGUCAGUGAAUAAAAAGGAAGUAACAACUGGAAAUUGACCAGUAUCUGCUAUGGACAUUACUUGUUUGUACCAGUCUCACUGCCACUGAAACGUAAUCCUGAAGGAGCACAAUUGACACAGUGGUUUUGACUUCAUUUCAGUCAUUGAGAUAUAACACUGUGAAGGGUACCCAGAUUUUCUGAAGACUUAGAUAAUGUGUCCCCUUAGGUAAAUGUUUUGGAUGUUAAGGUGUUGAUUGUGUUAUCAGGAGAUGAGCAGAAUAGACUCUUUUUUUCAAGAAAGAUUUCUCAUUGGUUUGGUUCAUCUCCUUUCACAUAUCCCUUAGAGCAGUGGGCCUUUGGGUUAGUGUCCAGGAAACUGGUAUGUUUCCUUCUGAGGUCAACAGAAGACCUGCUGCUUUCCAGCUCUUAGCUGGAAUCUGUCAGACUUCUGUGUAGUUGCUGGGCCAGGCAAGCAGACUCUGUGUGCAAGUUGUUUCAUGCAGUUUUGCACAUACACCAAGUCUCAAACAUCAGGCAUUGGGGUGUUGGCAGAUGUAAGAAGGUGUAGGUAGGCAUACACCCACCUACACCUUCAGUCAUAGAAUCACAGAAUAUGCUCAAUUGGAAGGGACCCACAAGGAUCAUUGAGUCCAUCAAUGUUCUGCACAGCACCAUCCCCAAGAAUCACACCCUGUGCCUGAGAGCAUUGUCCAAAUGCUUCUUGAACUCUGUCAGGCUUGGUGCUGUGAUCACUUUCCUGGGGAGCCUGUUCCAGUGCCCAGCCACCCUCCAGGAAGAAAACCUUUUCCUGAUAUCCAACCUAAAAACUCCUCUGACACAGCUUCAGGCCAGAAGACCCUCAGGUCCUGUCUCUGGUCACCACAGAGCAGAGAUCAGUGCCUGUCCCUCCUCUUCCCCUCACGAGGAAGCUGUAACUGCAGUGAGGCCUCCCCUCAGUCUCCUCCAGGCUGAACAGACCCAGUGCCCUCAGCCUCUCCUCACACAGCUUCCCGUCAGGGCCCUUCACCAUCUUUGUUGCCCUCCUUUGGACACUCUCUAAUAGUUUAAUGUUUUCCUUACAUUGUAGUGCCCAAAACUGCCCCCAGCACUGGAGGUGAGGCCACCCCAGUGCCGAGCAGAGCAGGGCAAUCCCCUCCCUUGCCCAGCUGGUGAUGCUGUGCUUGAGUUAACAAAAGUGAGCUAUUACUGGCCAUCUUAAUUAAAUACCCCUUCAAAAAUUAUUUGCAAAAUCUUUACAACAAGUAAGGAUCAGCCAGGAAUCUUCUGUGAAAUUAAGAGAAGAGGAGAAAAAUACAGAAAUUUGAAAAGUAAUGUGAAAAUAGGGAUGUUUUUAACUGAUAUUUUGGAGGCAAGCCAACUACUCAUUUGGAUUCCUACUUGCACAAUUUAUUUUGUCAGUCUUCUUUUUAUAUUGCAUAAGAUAAGAGAUUAAUAGGAAAAAUAAGGACACAGAAGAAAGUUUUAAAGUACUUAAGCUGACAAUCUAAGUAUCACAGAUGUUGAGUUUGCAGGCAGUAAAUCUCUCCUCCUGCAGUGGGCAAGUCUCUCUGACUCCAAAGAGCUUUAGGAGAGUCAUAGGAUGCUUUGGAUUCAUCAGGAUCACUUUCACAGCUUUCUCUGACAUAAGAGAACAGUAAUGUGCAUUAAAUGUAAGCUUUGUUGGUGGAUUGGAUUAAUUUUACUAGUGACAUAAACUGAAUUUAGAUGUACAAACUGUUUAAAACUUGGAGGUAAGAGCUUCACAGGUAAACCCAGCAGGCCAAAUUCUGGGGUUCCUGAAGUGCUGAAGAUUCAGAGGUCUGGCUCAGGUCUGGUUCAGAGUUUUUUAUAGGCUGUAAAACACAAACUCUGAAAAAAGUCUUCAAGAUUUGAUUCACUGUACCAGUUAAUAUGGCACACUGGUUCCUUUGGUACUGCAUUCUUUAUAAAUGAAAGCUUUCAAAUUGAAAUCAAGUUUCUGGCAAUUGCCUUUCUGAGGACAAACAAAAGAACCAAUAAGGAGCUGUGCAAGGGCCUUUCAGGAAGUCAUUUAGGAGCUUGAAAUUCUGCUUGAGAGUUUUCCCUUUGUUAUUGAACUGAUUGCUUCCUCCUUUGCUAUCUCCUCCUCUGCCCUGCAAAUGAAACAUCCAGUCCUGACUUUCUGGGGAGAGUUGAUGGAUGAAACCGUUUCCUACUAUGCACUGCUACCCAAGCUCUUUUUAUCCCAAAUGAAUUCUGCAUAUGGCUGAUUUUCCCCAUACAAAGUAAGAAGUAAACAGAGAGUGAUAGAUAUUGGCUUUCCAUCAUCUGAUCUGUCAGCUGCUGUACAUUAGGAAGUUAUCUAUGCCUUUAAUUGUGAGUAGGAGAGGGAUUUAGAGCUUGCAGGAGCGUAAUUGUUUCACAGUAAAUCUACAGAUAAGCCCCUCUUCCUUACUGCCCACACAGUUCCACUGAUUUCAGAAUAUUAAAUUGUCCUUUUCCCUUCAAACGCUGGUGCCUAAAGGAAGAUCUAUUAUCCUGAAGUCUUUGUAGCUUAGACUCUAAUGGGAUGCUGAUAUUGCAAACCAAUAACUAAAAUGAGGAAAUAUUGAAAUGAAGCAUAAGGCUUCUUUUAUUACUGCUAUAGUUUACUGCAUUAAUUUUUAAAUAUUUAUAUUUUCUGUCUAAUCACAGUCUUAGAGUUAAAAGUUUUGAUAGUUGACAAAUUCCUCACGUGAUGUAUUCCUAGAGACAAGGUGUAAGCAUCUGAGGGAGGGUAACAAAGAGGAAGGAUUUCUACCUUUGACUGUGCCAGACCCUGUGAAAUUUUCUUUUCAGUUUACUUCAGCAGAUAAAACAGACUUGUUUUGAUGUCUAAUUCUCAAAUUUCAGUGAAUUGCUUAUUCCUUAUUAUGAAUGGUUUCAAUUCAAGUGAGCAAAUACCUUAUGAAAAUCAGGUAAAUGGUCCUGUCAUUAAAUAAAUACCUGAGGUCCCUCUGGGUUUAUCUUUGUUGGGGGUUUUUGUGGUUUUUUUUGGUUUUUCUUGUUUUGUUUUUUUUUUGGGGUUUUUUUGUCUCCAUCAAUCUUGUCUUGUCUAUGCAGUGAGGAUACAAGAAUAUGUGCCAAAGACUACUUGGGUAAAUGAGAUAAUGAACAGCCACAGGUGCUUGUGUUCCCCAACCUGCCUAAGAAGACAACUGAUGUUGCUCAUUGAUAUUAUUAAUAAGACAAAGGCACAGGAGAAAAAAUAUCUCUCUUUAUCCAUCCUCCAUUCACUGGCAGGAAUUAACACUACAAUAACACUGCUCAUGGAAUAUGAAGUGGUUUUGUAUUUAGUAUUAGUCUAAUUACAUUCUUUGCAUCAAUGGGUGACAAAAGGAAAUAAUGAUAUAAAAAUGAGACAAACACUGCUUGCACCAGCCCCAGGCAGAAUUUACUGUUCCUGUCCGACCUCUCUAGAAAAGCACAAGUUACUUCAUGCUGACCCUGAAGAUUUCAUGUGACAAGAGUGACCAGGUCAGGGGACACAGAGAUGUGGAUCUGCAGCUGGGACUGGAGCUUCUCUCCAGGUGGACAUUGAGAAGACUGCAUGGACCCUCAUGAGACAGUUUGCAGUGAAGUAGUGCCUCCUAUAAAUCCUUUGUCACAAAAAGUAGCUAAUUAUUGCAGUGCCAGGGAUAUUUGGUAUUUUUACAGAGAGAUGCUGAUAUGGUAUAAUAAUUAGUAAAAUAUAGGUAGUUUAUUUUUGCCUUGAUUUCAAUUUUUAUUUCUACUGUCAGGUAGAUUUUGGGAAUAAAACAUUUUGACUUUGUGCAUCUUCUUUUAAAAUCAGAGGGUACAGUAAUAGCAUUUGGCUUGGUAUUUCCUUGAACAAGGAGGUAAUUUACUUUCACAGCUGCCUUAUAGAACAGGAUGAUGUUAAAGGAAUAAUUGACAAUUUGUGGGAUUUUUUGUGCUUGACAUUUGUGUUUCUCUUUUAAUUGAGUUUACAGGAUUAUCCUUUCUGUUCUGUGUGUAUUUCAAUAAUCACUCAGUGCUAAAAUUUUCAUAUAGAACUUCAAAUAGAUUGGAGUAACAUUUUUUGUGCUGAACAGUGAUUAACAAAACCCACAAUUCUCUUUCUUAAUUUGCUAAUAUGAUAAAGUGGAGUGUAUGCUGUUACAAAACCAACAAAAAUUAUGAAUGUGAUCCCAGUAUUCUUUUGAACAAUGCAAUUAUAUGAUUCUGUAUAUGUACAAACCUAAGUAGAAAAAUAAGACUUUGACAAUAGCA